AUCUUUCUGGAGAUCCCUGCCUAGUAGAGGCCUUCUAAAGAAUUUACAAGCCAUUACCCAUCACAUCUAGAACAUUACUGGAGCUGUCGAGAUAAAGGAAUCAGCGUAGAAACAUUGUUCCACUGGGAAAUGUAAAAUGGCAUAAAGUUGGUCCCUCAACAGCCAAGCUGUCAGAUCCUUUGAGGAGCGGAAACGGAACCCACACAGCAUAUGGUGGUAGUUGGCUGUUCCCAGGGAAAGCUGUCUGGCUCUCUUAAAAUACAGACAGCCAAAGCAUUUGAGAAGUACUAAGAGGUGCUCCAGCCCUCUGAUCGUCUUUGUGACCCUCCUCUGGAUCCAUUCCAAUAGCUUCAACAGCUUCCAUAGAAGGGGUGCGAACAGUGGACUGUUGAUUAUCUACUUGGUCACUGGCUGUCUCCUUGGCUCUACCAUGGACCUUCCUGACUGUCUCUAUCACCCAGAAUUUGGAACAGUUCCAGGAUGGUAUUCUCCAAGGACAAUGGCUUAGAGGCUGUGUAAGCAAGCCUCCUCGCUCCUUCCUCCUUUCCUCAUAAACAGUCUUCCAAAAAACCCAGAGCUGGGUCCUAUAUAGCGUGCAUGGGGUUAAUCUUCUCUAGAAGGAGUGAAGCCUAAGCAGAGUUCACAUAGCCCAGUCUGUGUGAUAUGGACUAAAGACCAAGGUUUGGUGCCUGGCUUGUUUAUUGUACAUGCUAAAUAGUACAUUUAUAGUACAUAUGUUAGUUCACGGCACUGUGGUACGUGCUAAAGCUAAAUCUUAGUCCUCAGUUUGAAUCUUAAUUUCAUUACUGUUCAUGAACAAUCUUGAGUAGUGUUUCAUGUAGCCACUAAGCCUAUGGGCUUUUUAGGAUCAUUGUAAGGAGGUGAGAUCUUGUAUCACAUUUAUCUAUACUGUAAAAUGUACUUGAACAGGACUGCUUCAGGUAAUCUCUUUCAGAAACGAAAGUUGUGCUGA
RNAcentral lists this long non-coding RNA (973 nucleotides) under Gallus gallus (chicken). RNAcentral's name for it is "lncRNA (ENSGALG00010027629.1)". Lineage: Eukaryota; Metazoa; Chordata; Aves; Galliformes; Phasianidae. The record is from RNAcentral.